GCCUCAGUAACGGCGAGUGAAGCGGCAACAGCUCAAAUUUGAAAUCUGGCCCUAGGCCCGAGUUGUAAUUUGCAGAGGAUGUUUCUGGCGAGGUGCCUUCCGAGUGCCCUGGAACGGGACGCCAUAGAGGGUGAGAGCCCCGUACGGUUGGUCGCUAAGCCUCUGUGAAACUCCUUCGACGAGUCGAGUAGUUUGGGAAUGCUGCUCUAAAUGGGAGGUAUACGUCUUCUAAAGCUAAAUACCGGCCAGAGACCGAUAGCGCACAAGUAGAGUGAUCGAAAGAUGAAAAGCACUUUGAAAAGAGGGUUAAACAGUACGUGAAAUUGUUGAAAGGGAAGCGCUCAUGACCAGACUUGGGCCGGUUGAUCAUCCGCCGUUCUCGGCGGUGCACUCUGCCGGCUCAGGCCAGCAUCAGUUUGGUCCGGGGGAUAAAGGUGUAGGGAAUGUGGCUCCCCCCGGGGAGUGUUAUAGCCCUGCGCGUAAUACCCUGGACUGGACUGAGGUUCGCGCAUCUGCAAGGAUGCUGGCGUAAUGGUUAUCAGUGACCCGUCUUGAAACACGGACCAAGGAGUCGUCUUCGUAUGCGAGUGUUCGGGUGUCAAACCCCUACGCGUAAUGAAAGUGAACGUANGAGAGAGCUUCGGCGCAUCUCCGACCGAUCCUGAUGUUCUCGGAUGGAUUUGAGUAAGAGCAUACGGGGCCGGACCCGAAAGAAGGUGAACUAUGCCUGUAUAGGGUGAAGCCAGAGGAAACUCUGGUGGAGGCUCGCAGCGGUUCUGACGUGCAAAUCGAUCGUCA
RNAcentral lists this ribosomal RNA (798 nucleotides) under Hydropisphaera suffulta. RNAcentral's name for it is "eukaryotic LSU rRNA". It matches the Rfam family "Eukaryotic large subunit ribosomal RNA", at positions 77 to 907 of the family's 3401-position model. Lineage: Eukaryota; Fungi; Ascomycota; Sordariomycetes; Hypocreales; Bionectriaceae. The record is from RNAcentral.